RNAcentral lists this small nuclear RNA (107 nucleotides) under Cyclopterus lumpus (lumpfish). The record is from RNAcentral. Lineage: Eukaryota; Metazoa; Chordata; Actinopteri; Perciformes; Cyclopteridae.
GUGCUUGCUAAGGCAGCGCAUAUAAUAAAUUGGAAAAGAUACAGAGAAGAUUAGCAUGGCCCCUGCGAAAGGAUGACACGCAAAUUCGUGAAGCGUUCCACAUUUUG